This 220-nucleotide long non-coding RNA is filed under the name Elaeis guineensis (African oil palm). RNAcentral describes it as "long non-coding RNA (EGUI_LNC066934)". Lineage: Eukaryota; Viridiplantae; Streptophyta; Magnoliopsida; Arecales; Arecaceae. The record is from RNAcentral.
UCUAUCAAGUGGUUAGGUUAGUCGGCCAAAGUCAGACCUAAUUAUUUGGUAGUUAGAUUUAUAAGUAUGAUCAUGUUAAUGGUUAGACCUUAAUCAGGACUUGCAGAGAAGAUCAAAGUCAACUAAAAAGUUAUCUGGGGUAAAAUCAAUUAUUAAAAAUUAUUUAUUAAAAUAAUUGAUUAAGAACCUACCCAUAGAUGUGCAUAGGUUAGUCAGCCAA